RNAcentral lists this small RNA (5496 nucleotides) under Rattus norvegicus (Norway rat). Its description in RNAcentral is "uncharacterized LOC102548639". The record is from RNAcentral. Lineage: Eukaryota; Metazoa; Chordata; Mammalia; Rodentia; Muridae.
AGAAAAGAAAAAAAAAUAGUAUAAAUACUGCAAAAAUUCAGAUCCACACAGAUGAGAACCACAGAACAAUUGGUGUGUGUGUGCGUGUGUUGCAUUAUGCUAAUGACAAUAAUAGAGGUAGUAAUGAUAUAUAGUGAUGAUAUAUACUUUAUAACAUGUAUUAAGAUGACAGAUGAAAUGAGACUGUUCCACUCAUAUUUUGUUUUCAUGUCUUUAAGGGCGAGAUUUUUGAUCCUAGAAAGACCAGAACAUGAGUGCCUAAGGAGAAUAUGAUGCUUGAGAGGAAAUGGGACCUCUGACAGUGACCCUGGUUUCAGUCUCUGGUGGGCUUCAAUUCUGAGGGAAGAAAAACUAAUAAACAUGACUAUAAAAAAUGAUGCAACCUUGGGUAAAGUGAAAGAUGUCAAAAGACGCAAAAUGGGAAAUGUCCCAAUUUUUGGAAGGGGUAUAAAGGUUAAUUAAGAGUAUUGGAGGACUGAUAAAACAUAUUGACUAUCCCCUGGCAACACUGCAGAAUGAGUUUUAUUUAAACAUGGGAUGUGGUGUUUAGAUAGGAAUAUCCAGGAAGCGGGAUUUGAUCCUGUAAAGACAUGGGGUGAUGAUGUAACUUACUUAAUGUUACUGUUUACCUAGUAAGUAAAAGAUCUUGCUUCAUCCUUAGCACUCGAAACCAAAACAAACCCAAAUAUUUGAAACUCACUUUUUCUCCCCUGUGUGGUUUAAUUAUUUCAAGAUCCUGAGAUAAUGAAGAUUGUAGCAGUCCAAUUAGAUAAAUAAUAAAUAAAUAAAUAAAUAAAUAAAUAAAUAAAUAAAUAAAUAAAUAAAUGGCUAACACUGACUAAGUGUGUCUGGAACCACCUAAUGCCAUAAACACAUAAACACAUUAAUUUAUUUAGUCUUCUUCAGUUCUCUGUGAGGUUGGGACCAUGUUUAUUUCUAUAAUGUAUAUGGAAAAACCCAGGAGCCAAGGCACUUAGAUCACAGGAAUUCGGUAUUUUGUGACUUCCCCAUGGCCUCAAACAAAGUCCGGUUGUUAUGGUGUGACUAUGAAUUGUUUCCCAUGGGGUCCUGGGGUGAUUUCUCAGUAACCUCAGCUAGUGACUCUGAUGUGGGUGGUGGUUGGAGCUUCCGGAGACAGGACUAGCUAGCACAAUGGUCUCAACCCUCCUUCUACUCUGAUCCGUAAGCCCAGUUCCUCAUGUUGUGUUGACCUCGCCCAGCCAUAAAAUUAUUUUCAUUAUUACAUCACAGCUGUACUUUUCUACUGUUAUGCAUCAUAAUGUAAAUCUCUGUGAUUUCCAGUGAUCUGUGGUGUCUCCUGUGAGAAGGUCAUUUGACCUUCAAAGGGGCUGCAACCCAUAGGUCAACCUCUUGGUAGAGGAAGCAGGCCCCUGGGGGCGGAGCCUGUGAAGGCUCUGCUUGGGUUCGCAGUCCUUUCCUCUCAGUUCUUCUGCCAUCAGGAGUCUCUGUCUGAGUGCGUGGAGCCGAACACCAGAGGACUGCACUCCUGAACCUCUGAGCUGUAAUAAAUCUUUCUUCCCUUGGUUGGCCUCUCAGGAAACUCGGGAGAUCGUAGAGUAAACCUCUGUGGCCUUCGUGUCUGGAGCCAACGUGGAUGGACAGAAGGAAUAAACCUGGUGAGUUGUUCCCAUAGGAAGAGCAUCCAGAGCCGCCACACCGGAAGUGCAGGGCAUGCAGCAACUGGGCAUGAAUAAAGAGACUGUGCAGAAGGAAACCACUGAUUCCUGGGUCCUUUCAUGAUCCCUGCAUGUAGUUAAGGCUCACCUAAUUCCCUACUGUAAAAAUAACAUAGGUUGAUUUUUAUUGUUAUUUAUGGUUUUUUCUUGUAUCUUUAAAAAAUGCCUGUGGGUGUUUUUCUUGUGUGAUUGUCUAUGUAUCAUGUGUUUAGUGCUUGCAGGGGCUAGAAGAGAGCAUUAGGUCCCUGGAAAGGGAGUUAAAGAGACUUGGGCCACCGUAUGAGUUCUGGGAAUCCAACCCAAGUUCUCUAGAAGACCAGGUUCUCUGCCAAGCCGUCUUUCCAGCCCCCGAACCUUCGUCCUUAAGUCGGCAUGGCAGUAGGGCUUUGGGUUACUGCUACUACUUACAGGAUGAAUUAAAAUGUUCUGGUUUCCAACCUCAUUGUAGUCUGCAAAUUUAAAUCUCCUUUCCUAACCUAGCAGCACAUUUUAACACUUUAGCACUAUGAUGGUUUACCCCUCUGUCUAACCUUCCUUGCUUAUUCUAAUGAACAGUGACAUCACAAAUAGUAACAGUUCACAAUCGCAAGUCCCUGAGUUAUUAAAAGGCUCUGGUAAAAUUGGCUGGGUCUUCAGUAAAAACCAAAACCUAUUUAGCAGGUCACAGAUUAGCUUGCCCCUCCCACUUCGCAGCUCGAUUGUAUUUGAUAUUAUUAUUAUUAUUAUUAUUAUUAUUAUUAUCAUUGUAUAUCAGCUACUGUUGAGUUAAUUGUUAGAGUACUGAAAGACGCAAAGAUGUCCUGGAUUUAAUCCAUUCUGGCAAGAGGGAAAUGACUAACAGGUAUGAGGUGGUGGUGGUGGUGGGGUUGUUAACUUUUGAGAACUGACUUUGAAUUCCUUCAGACCUUUGUAAAACUGUCCCAAGUCCUUCUGAGAUGGCACAAGAUGCCCCUGCCCACUUCUACUCAUGGCAGACAGAGGGAUGUGGGAGGAGACUUACAGGUAGUAAGGAAACUGGUUUGUGUUAGAAGACGUUGCUCAGUGACGAAUCCACCAGGGAUUUUUCUUGCCCCACUCAAAACACUCAUCCUGAGUGUGGUUUGAGACUUGGAGAUGGGAAAGUGGAAAUCUGUUUCACUAUUAGCAGUGGAAUAUGCGACAUUUCUUUAGGUUGUAUUUAAACACUCAGUCAUAGUUUUCUAAAGAACCAUAUCUUUCUUUAGACCAUCCAGUGAGGUCCAAGAACUUCUGUCAGUAGAUGAUCUAACAGAGUAGCUUUAUCAUUUAGUAGCACAUUGGAAAAACCUUCUAAAAAAAAACCCAGCUUCCUUAAUGGGCUAUCAAAAUUAUUGUACCUCAUCCCAUGACCUCCUGUGUUGGUGGGUGUUAUGCUUGGCAAAGAAAGAUGGCCUGGCACAUUGUUUGAAGAAACCUCUCCUUCUCUGGAAGGAGCAUGUAAUCUUGGUACAGCACUGUGGAAAACUGCAGAGCUUCAUUGUUUGAACAGUCUGGCAUAGGGUCUCUUUAGGAGAGGGCUGUGUCUUCACGCUCACGACAAAUUGGAACUAUCUUUGUAGCUAUGUUUUAACAGAGGUAUGCUUAACAACGGUGCAUUAAACACCCCUGUAAACACCAAGUUUUCAAACAUCUACACAAGACUACACAGGUAGCCCACACACUAUUAAGAGGUAUACAGUUAGUAACCAGGUUGGCUUGCCCUGUGAUUCACUGUUUCAUUUGCAUAGGUAAAACGAACAGGGUGGAUAUGCUGGGCCUGGAAUACACAAACAGGAGUGGUGUCUUGGACGUGUGUGAAGUCACAAGAGACAGUGUGCUCAGAAGUCAGCUCUCAUUCUAAUACUUAUGGUGUCACUGCCUUGAAAUCUCAAAAUAUUGGGUUCUUGCAUUUUGGUUCUGUGCUGGAGCCUGCACAUUUCAACAGGAAGUUCUGCUUCUGGGUGAUUAAUUACUUUGCUGACACUUAGACAAUUCCCAAAUAUUGACAGAAACAUAAGGUGAGUAGAAGUGGCCAGGGACUAUGAGCUGAAGCAGUAUCGAGAGUUAGUAUUAUGUUAUGAUUUUAACAUGCUUUAUUUUUAAACUGGGAGAUUUCUUCUGGUUUAUGCAAGAACUUCUUGCCUCCUAAAUUCCUAUAUUUACAAGUCAAGAAAAUAUUCACUGGGAGUGGAAAGAAAUAGGGAGUGGAUCCAGGGAAAUGUGAGAGAGCCUUAUUGUUUUGCGUCAUGGGCAGCUUUGGCCCACAGAUCUGGCUCAGAUCGCUGUGUCAGGACUUUCUGUGGCCCCUUGCCAAAGGGAGGGAGGCCUCAGCAGGUGCUCUGGCUUCAGAUUCCUACUGGGGUCUAACUCUUGACAGAGCCCACCUCCUUCAUGCCUGAGCCCAGGUGCUACCCUCUUUGGAAGUUCCACACCCCGUCCACUCCACCUCACCACUCCACUCACAACGGCUGCCCACCCCCAUCCUCACUCCUGAUGUCCCGGAGUUUUUUCAUAAAACUUUCAGUUUAAAUGCAUAAGACUCGGUGCACAGUCACAAACUGAAUUAAAGUGUGAGCAAACGAGUUGAUAGACACAUCCUUCACCAUCAAAGCUAAACCUUUAAGUAAGAAGCAACAUACCAGCCAACCCAUUGCCCCUCUUCUAAUUGGGUCCGUUCUCUGCAAAUUGACAGUAGUUCUCAGAAUUCAUCACAUUUCCCAGAAAUGCCUUGCGUUUACAGAUCUAUAAUCUUCAGAGAGUUAAGAUGUAGGGGCAGUUCCAUUUGAGUCCUUCCAUAUUAAGUACUGCAUUUUCCAACAUUCCCAGAGUUAUGAAGAGACGGGAAUGUGGAAGGGGAGGUGGGCUGACUGGUGCUACUCAGCUAAAAAGGGAUCUUUCUGUUCUCUAGGAACCCACUCAGGAUUCAGUUUUUAUUCUUCACCUUGGACCGCGCUUACUACCAGAGAGUAAACUGUAGUGAACCGUGUCAGUGUGACCUGCCUUCUUCCACAUCUCUCAAAAUAAUCGAGAGUUUGGUAUCACCGUUUCCAGUAACACUAAAUAUCGAUUCCAUGUUGGGUAUGUUGACGCCUUGAAUCACAGCACUUUGGAGGCAGAAGCAGGCAGAUCUCUGUGAAUUCAAGGUCAGGUUAGUCUAAAUGGUGUCAAGCCAUCCAUGGCUACAUAGUGGGUAAAAGUCUAUUAAAAGUCUAUUUCAACAGCCCUUUGUCCAUAUAAAACUCAGUCAUUUGUCAAAUGUAUACUAACUUGAAUUAGCCUCAAGUGUGUUUUGAAGUUCUAAGUAUACUAUUUAAUUGGUGUAAAGUUGUCUUGUUUUCAAAUUUUAGCUGGGAACGGAACUCAUUGACUAACAAGCGUUUUGAUCAUCAGUUUAGCUGACAAGGAGCCGCUCGAGGGUUGGAGCGAUGAAGGCAGAAUGUGAAGGCGAUUGAAUCAAAGUCAGUUCAGAGCAUCCAGACCAUAGUGCCCUCCUUCAGAUAAUCCUUUCUGAGUCCUUUCAUAACUGUCCCUCGUGGUCUCUAAAUCGUUGAGAAAAUUUAUGAAUAAUCUUAAAAUUAAAUCUACUGGUGUAGGAAGCCAGUGGCUUACAAUAUUUUAAGAGAAAAUGUCGCUUGGCUUAGCCAAACUACAUGCAGAUGAAAAUUUUCAAUUAUCUGUAGUAACAAGAAUAUCUUUUUAGUCAUUUGAAACCUCUGUGGGAUAAGCACAAUACUUACUGCUUAUUUCAUUUUUAUUGCCGGGAGUUAAAGGAUCACAAUUCAACAAUAAUACAAAAAAAAAA